Molecule: ribosomal RNA, 776 nt
Filed under: uncultured Neocallimastigales
Lineage: Eukaryota; Fungi; Neocallimastigomycota; Neocallimastigomycetes; Neocallimastigales
Description: partial large subunit ribosomal RNA
Rfam family: Eukaryotic large subunit ribosomal RNA
Source: RNAcentral
AGAGAGAGACAUGCGUGCAUAUCAAUAAGCGGAGGAAAAGAAACUAACAAGGAUUCCCUUAGUAACGGCGAGUGAAGCGGGAAGAGCUCAAAUUUGAAAUCUUCAAGGUUCUACCUUGACGAAUUGUAGCUUUAUAGAAGUGUUUUCUGUUAGUAGAGUGGCAAAAGUUCUUUGGAAUAGGACAUCAUAGAGGGUGAGAAUCCCGUAUUUGGUCAUUCUUCUAGCGUUGUGAUACACUUUCAACGAGUCGGAUUGUUUGGGAAUGCAGUCCAAAAUGGGUGGUAAAUUUCAUCUAAAGCUAAAUAUUGGCGAGAGACCGAUAGCGAACAAGUACCGUGAGGGAAAGAUGAAAAGAACUUUGAAAAGAGAGUUAAACAGUACGUGAAAUUGUCAAAAGGGAAGCGUUUGACACCAGUGUUGUUUUUCCGAAAAUCAAUUACGAAUGUUUUGUUUUUGAGAAGUUAUGACUUCAUCGGCUUGCUUCUUUCUUUACGAAACUUUCUUAAUGCACUUUUCGGUUAACAAGUCAACAUCAAUUUCUUUUGUUGUAAAAGGGUACUGAGGAAGGUGGCUUUCUUUUCGGAGAAAGUGUUUAUAGCCUUGUGCCUCUGCAAUCGGAGAGAUUGAGGUCUGCAGCGUAGAUCCUUCGGGGUUAGAUACAGUUUGUGCUAAGUUAUAGCUUUUCAUAGACAACUUGUUGACUAUGUUUAGUCUUGUAGCUUACUCGCUGAUGCUAUUUUACCUACGCUUAGGAUGUUGAUAGUCACAGCGUGUAC